This 389-nucleotide ribosomal RNA is filed under the name Enterococcus faecalis. RNAcentral describes it as "bacterial SSU rRNA". It matches the Rfam family "Bacterial small subunit ribosomal RNA", at positions 53 to 419 of the family's 1533-position model. The record is from RNAcentral. Lineage: Bacteria; Bacillati; Bacillota; Bacilli; Lactobacillales; Enterococcaceae.
ACAUGCAAGUCGAACGCUUGCUUUCCUCCCGAGUGCUUGCACUCAAUUGGAAAGAGGAGUGGCGGACGGGUGAGUAACACGUGGGUAACCUACCCAUCAGAGGGGGAUAACACUUGGAAACAGGUGCUAAUACCGCAUAACAGUUUAUGCCGCAUGGCAUAAGAGUGAAAGGCGCUUUCGGGUGUCGCUGAUGGAUGGACCCGCGGUGCAUUAGCUAGUUGGUGAGGUAACGGCUCACCAAGGCCACGAUGCAUAGCCGACCUGAGAGGGUGAUCGGCCACACUGGGACUGAGACACGGCCCAGACUCCUACGGGAGGCAGCAGUAGGGAAUCUUCGGCAAUGGACGAAAGUCUGACCGAGCAACGCCGCGUGAGUGAAGAAGGUUUUC